AUGCAGUCGCACGGACCUUUCGGGGUGAGUGGCGGACGGGUGAGUAUCGCGUAGGGAUCUAUCCAUGGGUGGGGGAUAACAUCGGGAAACUGGUGCUAAUACCGCAUGAUACCUGAGGGUCAAAGGCGCAAGUCGCCUGUGGAGGAGCCUGCGUUCGAUUAGCUUGUUGGUGGGGUAAAGGCCUACCAAGGCGAUGAUCGAUAGCUGGUCUGAGAGGAUGAUCAGCCACACUGGGACUGAGACACGGCCCAGACUCCUACGGGAGGCAGCAGUGGGGAAUAUUGGACAAUGGGCGAAAGCCUGAUCCAGCAAUGCCGCGUGUGUGAAGAAGGUCUUCGGAUUGUAAAGCACUUUCGACGGGGACGAUGAUGACGGUACCCGUAGAAGAAGCCCCGGCUAACUUCGUGCCAGCAGCCGCGGUAAUACGAAGGGGGCUAGCGUUGCUCGGAAUGACUGGGCGUAAAGGGCGCGUAGGCGGUUUACACAGUCAGAUGUGAAAUUCCAGGGCCUAACCUUGGGGCUGCAUUUGAUACGUGUAGACUAGAGUGUGAGAGAGGGUUGUGGAAUUCCCAGUGUAGAGGUGAAAUUCGUAGAUAUUGGGAAGAACACCGGUGGCGAAGGCGGCAACCUGGCUCAUUACUGACGCUGAGGCGCGAAA
Molecule: ribosomal RNA, 658 nt
Filed under: uncultured bacterium
Lineage: Bacteria
Description: bacterial SSU rRNA
Rfam family: Bacterial small subunit ribosomal RNA
Source: RNAcentral